RNAcentral lists this ribosomal RNA (490 nucleotides) under uncultured bacterium. RNAcentral describes it as "partial 16S ribosomal RNA". It matches the Rfam family "Bacterial small subunit ribosomal RNA", at positions 29 to 505 of the family's 1533-position model. The record is from RNAcentral.
AGUGAACGCUGGCGGUAGGCCUAACACAUGCAAGUCGAACGGCAGCACAGUAAGAGCUUGCUCUUACGGGUGGCGAGUGGCGGACGGGUGAGGAAUACAUCGGAAUCUACUUUUUCGUGGGGGAUAACGUAGGGAAACUUACGCUAAUACCGCAUACGACCUACGGGUGAAAGCAGGGGAUCUUCGGACCUUGCGCGAUUGAAUGAGCCGAUGUCGGAUUAGCUAGUUGGCGGGGUAAAGGCCCACCAAGGCGACGAUCCGUAGCUGGUCUGAGAGGAUGAUCAGCCACACUGGAACUGAGACACGGUCCAGACUCCUACGGGAGGCAGAAGUGGGGAAUAUUGGACAAGGGGCGCAAGCCUGAUCAAGCCAUACCGCGUGGGUGAAGAAGGCCUUCGGGUUGGAAAGCCCUUUUGUUGGGAAAGAAAAGCAGCAGGUUAAUACCCCGCUGUUCUGACGGUACCCAAAGAAUAAGCACCGGCUAACUUCG